GUCUACAACAAAAUCACCAUGAACUUUCCCGGACUCAUCAGAUCUGGGAAGCGAAGCUGCGUUCAACCUGGUCAGUACUUGGAUAUGAGACUGCCUGGAAAUACCAGGUGUUGGAGGCU
RNAcentral lists this ribosomal RNA (119 nucleotides) under Petromyzon marinus (sea lamprey). The record is from RNAcentral. Lineage: Eukaryota; Metazoa; Chordata; Hyperoartia; Petromyzontiformes; Petromyzontidae.